RNAcentral lists this long non-coding RNA (334 nucleotides) under Physcomitrium patens. Its description in RNAcentral is "long non-coding RNA (PPAT_LNC003091)". The record is from RNAcentral. Lineage: Eukaryota; Viridiplantae; Streptophyta; Bryopsida; Funariales; Funariaceae.
GGGGAAGAAGAUAAGUUUUGGGGGGAUUUUUUGAAGGAUCAGAGAGCUAGCUUCAUGCUUCGGACGGGGAAAAAAGACAGAGAAUUGGGUUAUUUUUCUUCAUAGGAUUUUGGGAAGACUGAGGCAAUCGUUGCUGAAGUCAGUGUUGUACUGGUGAAUCGAGGUUUUAAUGAAGUGGAUUUGAUUACUCUUGACUAUUUUCUGAAAUCGAGUUACGUCUGUGAUCAAGAAUUAAAAAGGUGUCUAUAGGAUUGAGUAUGCGGAGUGAAUGAAAUUUAUUAGAUUAAUCUAACGAGACAAUCAGUAGAUACAAGAUCGUGAGUAUAAAGCGAUA